Molecule: long non-coding RNA, 2009 nt
Organism: Dermacentor silvarum
Lineage: Eukaryota; Metazoa; Arthropoda; Arachnida; Ixodida; Ixodidae
Exons: 2
Source: RefSeq, a predicted model, not a curated record
CAUCGAUAUCGUUUGGGGGAACCGAUGUUCUCAUCGCGAGCGAGCUUCGAACCUAGCUGCUCGACAUAAAAUGCAAAAAGGGGGCAAGGCUUGGGCGUGUCAGUUUACCGCCAGGAUAGAUGCCACGGUAGAGGGUUCUAAGCGAAAAUUCAACGUUGACCCUAUAAAUUCGAAAGUCAAGGCUCUACACUUCUUGCAUUCGUACAAAGUCGCACGUAGCUCGAUUAAUCAAGUAACGUUCACUAUGUUUUCCCACCUAGCAAGGGAUCGUUACAAUUACAUGGUGUGUUCUUGUUUUUCUAUUCAGAGCUCGUUUCCUAAUGCCCGCAAUUUCGCUCGCGGAACAUAGCAUCUCGGCGGGUAAAAACGAAAAGGACGCACGUCUCGUUCGUUGAGACGUUUGGUAUCAGCUGUGGCCCCGCUACGGUGCUGCUGACGCCAGCGCGAGCAAAGUGCAGAGCAACCACACACAAAAAAAAAUAACGGUAAAACGAAAUGUAAGCGAAGAAUUCAGACACGCCAAACCCUUGGUUCAAGACGCCAAAUUCGAAGCGUCGGUCGUAUUUACAACGUCUGCGUUGGCUUCGUGGCAUGCGCGAGCCAGCACAAGCGGCAAAAGAAAGGAAACUAAAAACAAAAAGCGAACGUUCUCCGCCCUUUCCCUUUAUUAUGCCGCCCUGUCGGAGCGCCCAAUAUAUCCAGCGCGCCGCCAUUGGUCGGCGAGACCUCCGUAGCAGUGACGUAACCAAGGUUAUAAGUACGACGUCAUCCUGGCAAGGGACGUCAGUUGAGCGUUUGGUUCUGGCUUGGGCAUGUCGCAGCAGCGCUCCUCUUCACGUUUUACGUUUCUCGUGCGUUUUCUGUCAACGGACUGCUUCAAAGACAAUUCACGGUGGCAGGAAGGCUGAUCGACGGCGAGGAAGUGCCGCGUGCUUUGGGAUCGAACCACCACUACGUUGAAGGGUGACUGCAUCACGAACGAGGGCCGCAUCUGCGAGUUUGUCGUCUGCCGAAGCAGCGAAGGACGGGGGAUUGUGAUCGGCCCGGCCUACUCUUCGAGUCACACCAAGGUGCGGGGAGAGAGAGAGUGUUCGAGCCGUGGGGGCCCGAGCUGUGGUGCUGGCGGACCCCAGGUUCCCUCCACCCAACCCCCUCCCUCCCAGAGGCAGCGCAACGCCGGCCUGCUGAGCCUCAUUCUCGACUACUCUCCGUGGGGGCCGGAGGAGGCAGCUCGCACAACCACGCGAUGGUCGCAUUCCAUCCUGCCACGCAUGGCCUGCCACCAGAAAGGGAAGGGGGCUCGCAGCACUCUGGGGGGGCAACUGCAGCGCCGGCCAAAACGACGCGCCAAGCGAGGCCUUAUGGGCAAGGGUGCCGGGUAAUAUACCUCAUCACACGCGGAAAAGAAAUGAGAAGAGCACUAGUUAUAUUAACUUUUCCAAGUCGCUCGUUUUCGAGUGAAAGCCAAGCGAGAAAGGUUCACAGGAGGAUGGAGACGCGAUAGUGGUCGGACAAAAGCUAUCGCUGGAGCAGAGAGAGCAUCGUUUCGACAAGCCGCGACGAAGUCGCGUAAUAUUUGCUCCAACGACAUUCUCUUGUUGUACCGCUGUUUAUUAAUAUCCGGGUGGUCCGUUACAAUACAAUGUCACGCACGUCCAACUCGGGCCACGCUGCUCGCGUAACAGGCGCCCAUUUGAAAAUUGCAGUAAAUUCAAAAGCGCGUUGCCGUGGUUGCGUCGCUGUAAACGUGUAAAAUAAAUUACGGGGGGUUUUACGUGCCAAAACCACCAUCUGAUUAUGAGGCACGCCGCAGUGGGUGACUCCGGACUAAUUUCGGCCACCUGGGGUUUUUUUAACGUGCACCUAAAUCUAAGUACUCUGGCGUUUUCAACGCAUCGAAGCGUGGCCGGGAUUCGAUCCCGCGACCUGGUGCUUAGCAGCCCAAAACCAUGACAGCUAAGCAACCACGGCGGGUCACUGAAAAAAAAAAAUAAAAAAAAGAAAGAUAA